AAAGCGAUUCCCUUAGUAGUGGCGAACGAAAAGGGAAAAGCCCAGCGCAUAACCUCUCGGGCUACCAAGCCUGCAGCGGAAUGUUGCGUAAAGGGAAAGGUCGUGUACAAGUCCUGCAAGUGGCGUGGACCGAUAAGUCUGAGGAAUGAUCUUGCCCCGUCACCCGAAAGGGUGGAGCUUGGUUCCACAGAGGGUGACAGACCCGUGUCGACACGUGUUUCUGCUUGCAUUGGAUUCGGCUUUCUCAUUCCCUGAGAGUCGCGUUGCUUGAGAAUGCAGCGCUAAGCAGGUCGUAAACUCGACCUAAGGCUAAAUAUUGCCACGGAACCGAUAGUAAACAAGUACCGUGAGGGAAAGUUGAAAAGCACUCUGAAGAGAGAGUGAAAAGACCGUGAAACCGUUCAGAGUAUAAACCAAUGGAUUGGAACUGGGUGGCACUUGGGUGUGAG
RNAcentral lists this ribosomal RNA (449 nucleotides) under Paraleptamphopidae sp. RNAcentral's name for it is "partial large subunit ribosomal RNA". It matches the Rfam family "Eukaryotic large subunit ribosomal RNA", at positions 68 to 455 of the family's 3401-position model. The record is from RNAcentral. Lineage: Eukaryota; Metazoa; Arthropoda; Malacostraca; Amphipoda; Paraleptamphopidae.